CCUACGGGAGGCAGCAGUCGGGAAUUUUGGGCAAUGGGCGAAAGCCUGACCCAGCAACGCCGCGUGAAGGAUGAAGUAUUUCGGUAUGUAAACUUCGAAAGAAUGGGAAGAAUAAAUGACGGUACCAUUUAUAAGGUCCGGCUAACUACGUGCCAGCAGCCGCGGUAAUACGUAGGGACCAAGCGUUGUUCGGAUUUACUGGGCGUAAAGGGCGCGUAGGCGGCUUGACAAGUCACUUGUGAAAUCUCCGGGCUUAACUCGGAACGGCCAAGUGAAACUGUCAUGCUAGAGUGCAGAAGGGGCAAUCGGAAUUCUUGGUGUAGCGGUGAAAUGCGUAGAUAUCAAGAGGAACACCUGAGGUGAAGACGGGUUGCUGGGCUGACACUGACGCUGAGGCGCGAAAGCCAGGGGAGCAAACGGGAUUAGAUACCCCGGUAGUCCUGGCCCUAAACGAUGAAUACUUGGUGUCUGGAGUAAAUAGUGCUCCGGGUGCCGUCGCUAAACGUUUUAGUAUUCCGCCUGGGGAGUACGCUCGCAAGAGUGAAACUCAAAGGAAUUGACGG
This 563-nucleotide ribosomal RNA is filed under the name uncultured bacterium. RNAcentral describes it as "bacterial SSU rRNA". It matches the Rfam family "Bacterial small subunit ribosomal RNA", at positions 338 to 916 of the family's 1533-position model. The record is from RNAcentral.